UAUAGGUUUGCCUGCCGAAGCCCUUAGCCAGCGACUCUAAACAACUUUGCUACAGUCGCCCCUUUUGGGGCUGGCGACGCCAUCAAUCUGUGUCUGGAAGUUCCCUCUAGGGGGGAAUACUACCAGCAGCUCGUCACAUUCGAGUUCACAGGUCAAACGAUUGCGGCCAUUUCGGUGGUUAAGAUAUGAUCGGCCGCCAGCUGUCAUCUAGCUGGCGAGAUUUGCGGAACCUGCGGAAGGAUCAUUA
Molecule: ribosomal RNA, 247 nt
Filed under: Cladonia firma
Lineage: Eukaryota; Fungi; Ascomycota; Lecanoromycetes; Lecanorales; Cladoniaceae
Description: partial 18S ribosomal RNA
Source: RNAcentral